This is a long non-coding RNA of Pongo pygmaeus (Bornean orangutan), 831 nucleotides long. RefSeq lists it as uncharacterized. The transcript is spliced from 3 exons. NCBI's taxonomy places the organism in Eukaryota, Metazoa, Chordata, Mammalia, Primates, Hominidae. The record is from RefSeq and is a predicted model, not a curated record.
GACAAAUUCCCCAUGCUAUUCUCAUGAUAGUGAGUAAGUUCUCACAAGAGCUGAUGGUUUUAUAAGGGGUUUCCCCCUUUGCUCAGUUCUCAUUCUUCUCCUUCUUGCUGCCCUGUGAAGAAGGAAGCAUUUUCUUCCCCUUCCACCACAACUAGGGGAAUUUAAACACAGCAGAUUAUCUGAUUCGUUUGUAUGAACAACUUGGAUUGAAGGGCUGUUGGAGGAUGUGCUGCAUACAAAGCAAAGAGCUGGGGGAAAUGACACCUGACAGAGGGCAGACAGAGCAGCAGCCGAUCAUCUAACCCAGCUGCGAGUGCCGGACCCCGGGUGGGGGCAGGGAGGCGGGGGGAUGACGCAGGAGGACAAGUGGAGGUGUGAGGAAUCAUUAUAAUAAUAAAGCGGGCAAACACGUUUCUACAGUGGGCCAGGUGGCAGGCACUGUUCUGAGCACUUUAUAUGUAUUAAUUCACUUAAUUCUCAUAACCAUGCUAUGAGGUACCUGUUAUUGUCAAUUAGCUAAAGGGUACAAAGUUUGAAAAGAUAAUUUGGCCAUGUGUGGUGGCUCAUGUCUGUAAUCCCAGCACUUUGGGAGGCUGAAGAGGGAGGAUUGCUUGAGCUCAGGAGUUUGAGACCAGCCUGGGCAAUGUAGGGAGACACCAUCUCUACCAAAAAUUAGACAAAAUUAGUCAGGCAUGGUGGCGUGCACCUGUGGUCCCAGCUACUCAGAAGGCUGAGGCAGGAGGAGUGCUUGAUCCUGGGAGAUCGAGGCUGCAGUGAGCCACGAUCAUGCUACUGUACUCCAGCCUGGGUAACAUAGCAAGACUCUGUCUC